GAUGAAAUUUUAACCGAUCUCUUCGGAGAGACGAUAAAAUGGAUUCAGCGGCGGACGGGUGCAGUAACCCCGUGAGAAACCUGCCUCUUCACAAGGGGAUCAGCCUCGGCGAAACCGGGAUUAAUACCCUAUGACACAUUUCCUUCGCGUGGAAGAAAUGUUAAAACUCCGGUGGUGAAAGAUGGUCUCGCGCCUGAUUAGCUAGUUGGUGGGGUAACGGCCCACCAAGGCCAUGAUCAGUAACCGGCCUGAGAGGGUGAACGGUCACAUUGGAACUGAGACACGGUCCAAACUCCUACGGGAGGCAGCAGUGGGGAAUAUUGCACAAUGGGCGCAAGCCUGAUGCAGCAACGCCGCGUGAACGAUGAAGGUCUUCGGAUCGUAAAGUUCUGUUGCAGGGGAAGAUAAUGACGGUACCCUGUGAGGAAGCCCCGGCUAACUACGUGCCAGCAGCCGCGGUAAUACGUAGGGGGCUAGCGUUAUCCGGAUUUACUGGGCGUAAAGGGUGCGUAGGUGGUCUUUCAAGUCGGUGGUUAAAGGCUACGGCUCAACCGUAGUUAGCCUCCGAAACUGGAAGACUUGAGUGCAGGAGAGGAAAGUGGAAUUCCCAGUGUAGCGGUGAAAUGCGUAGAUAUUGGGAGGAACACCAGUAGCGAAGGCGGCUUUCUGGACUGCAACUGACACUGAGGCACGAAAGCGUGGGUAGCAAACAGGAUUAGAUACCCUGGUAGUCCACGCUGUAAACGAUGAGUACUAGGUGUCGGGGGUUACCCCCCUCGGUGCCGCAGCUAACGCAUUAAGUACUCCGCCUGGGGAGUACGCACG
RNAcentral lists this ribosomal RNA (825 nucleotides) under uncultured Clostridia bacterium. RNAcentral describes it as "bacterial SSU rRNA". It matches the Rfam family "Bacterial small subunit ribosomal RNA", at positions 54 to 888 of the family's 1533-position model. The record is from RNAcentral. Lineage: Bacteria; Bacillati; Bacillota; Clostridia.